GAUGAACGCUGGCGGCGUGCCUAAUACAUGCAAGUCGAGCGAACGGACGAGAAGCUUGCUUCUCUGAUGUUAGCGGCGGACGGGUGAGUAACACGUGGAUAACCUACCUAUAAGACUGGGAUAACUUCGGGAAACCGGAGCUAAUACCGGAUAAUAUUUUGAACCGCAUGGUUCAAAAGUGAAAGACGGUCUUGCUGUCACUUAUAGAUGGAUCCGCGCUGCAUUAGCUAGUUGGUAAGAUAACGGCUUACCAAGGCAACGAUGCAUAGCCGACCUGAGAGGGUGAUCGGCCACACUGGAACUGAGACACGGUUCAGACUCCUACGGGAGGCAGCAGUAGGGAAUCUUCCGCAAUGGGCGAAAGCCUGACGGAGCAACGCCGCGUGAGUGAUGAAGGUCUUCGGAUCGUAAAACUCUGUUAUUAGGGAAGAACAUAUGUGUAAGUAACUGUGCACAUCUUGACGGUACCUAAUCAGAAAGCCACGGCUAACUACGUG
Molecule: ribosomal RNA, 497 nt
Filed under: uncultured bacterium
Lineage: Bacteria
Description: partial 16S ribosomal RNA
Rfam family: Bacterial small subunit ribosomal RNA
Source: RNAcentral